This 1126-nucleotide long non-coding RNA is filed under the name Anas zonorhyncha (Eastern spot-billed duck). RNAcentral's name for it is "lncRNA (ENSAZOG00000011014.1)". The record is from RNAcentral. Lineage: Eukaryota; Metazoa; Chordata; Aves; Anseriformes; Anatidae.
CCCCUCAUUCGGGCUGAACUUGCGUGUGCGCGGCUGGCGUAAACAGGGCACAGCCGCACCGAGUCCAUCUUAAAUGACAUCCUUCCCCCCCUUGUUAUUCCUAUUAACGUUUAUUUUUUUAAAAAUUUUAUUCUCCCCCCGCUGUUCUGUGGGUUUCCUGCCCUCCCUGGUAGCUCCCGGCCACCUCCUGCGACCCCCGGGCUCGUUUUGGGGGAUGUUUUCCGGGGGAGUUUUUUUUUUGGGAGGAUAUUUUUUUGGGGUAAUAUUUUUAGGGUGAGGGGGUCCCAGCUGCGAGCCCCCAUCCUUUGAGCCCCCUCCGGCUCCGCAGCGAGUUGCUGAAAGUCCCGAGCGGCGUCGCCGUGCUCUGCGCCCUCCCUCCAACUUCCCAUUUCUAAGGAAGCGUCUUUAAAAAUAAUAAUAAAAACACAAAUUUAAAAGCCUCAACGUUUGGGCCGAAGCCCUGGCCUGCUGCUCGGCUUCCCCGGCUGCUUUUUUUUUUGGGGGGGCUGUGGGCCUGGGGGAUGCCCCUGCGUGGAGGGCGGCGAGGACGCUGCGGAGCGGUGCAACGCGCUCGCCCCAGGAGUAAAGUCCAGAGCUGCAGGGAGAGCCCGACCAAACCUUGGGGGGGGGNAAAAAUCCACAAAAGUGCCUGCGAGCCUUGCUCAGGCUCGCCAGCACGUGCCUCGGUGGGUUUACUGGGAGCAGAUAUCGCUAAAGGCCUGGGUUUGCACCGCCGGAGGCAUCGGGGGGCUCCCUCUGCCCUGCUGGAGGUUUUGGGAUGGGUGCACCCAAGGGUUUUGGGGUGCUGGUCCCGGAGGAAACCCAACGUCGGUGCUGGGAUCCGGGGUGCUGGGACUCCACGUGAAGUUGACAAAUGCUCCUACAGCACGAGGAGGCAGCCUUCAGGUUGCUGGAGUUGAAAGCGUGCAGGAGGAGGGGACAGUGGCCUUAUUAAUGUCCUUCCUAACGAGGGGUGUGCUCCACAAAGGAUGAGAUGAUUUUAAAUUAAUUAGCUGCUCCUCGUUCCUUCUUCUCGAAGCGUGCGACCUGCAUUGAUUAUCUGGUUGUUUUAGCGGCAUCGGCACGAGGAAGUUAUUUAAUUGGGCUUAAUUAACCUGCGGAGCUC